GCCGCUGUGAUGGAAUGGCAGACGUGGUGGAUUCAAAAUCCUCUGGUAGUGAUACCGUGCCGGUUCGAGUCCGGCUAGCGGCACCA
Molecule: transfer RNA, 86 nt
Filed under: Clostridium cellulovorans 743B
Lineage: Bacteria; Bacillati; Bacillota; Clostridia; Eubacteriales; Clostridiaceae
Description: tRNA-Leu (CAA) (tRNA-Leu-CAA-1-1)
Rfam family: tRNA
About the family: Transfer RNA (tRNA) molecules are approximately 80 nucleotides in length. Their secondary structure includes four short double-helical elements and three loops (D, anti-codon, and T loops).
Source: RNAcentral